This is a non-coding RNA of Meleagris gallopavo (turkey), 733 nucleotides long. The record is from RefSeq and is a predicted model, not a curated record. NCBI's taxonomy places the organism in Eukaryota, Metazoa, Chordata, Aves, Galliformes, Phasianidae.
GGCGCCGGGAGGGAUUUUGUGACGGGAGAAGAUACGCCUGGGUUCGGGGCUGAGCAAGGCAGCCCACACCGGCCUGCAGCGAAGGUUCCGUGGCUUCCCAAGCCAUGUCGGUGCUGUGUCAAGGCACGGGCUUGCCAAACCCCGGCUGCUAAGCACAUUUAUACGUGCUUUGAGUUCAGCCUGCCCCUGCCCGCCUGUGUCCAUGUAUGACUGAGUCCUUGUAGCAGUUCCUGCUGCGCUACCGUGGAGUAGCUCAUUUCCUUCUGACUCAGCUUUGUCAGUCACGGAGUGCAUUGCUCUGGCUUUAGGCUCAGGCCCUCGCUACUCUUCUGAGGUGCUCACUCACAGAAGAGCUCUAAGCUCGUCACUGCUCCUGGGAUCUGCUUGCCCUUGCACAGCGUGCAUGUAAAACUGUGCUGGAGAGGUCCACAGCAAAUCUCAGAAGUGGAAACACUCUCCAAGCAAACACCUCUAAGCAUGGAGGAGUGCGUGCUCCAGUUGUGAAAAUGAGUGUGAAAAUUCCCCCCACGUUUCCACGUUACGCAGAACAAAAUUGUAGUGUCUGGAAAGAUAGAAACUCAAGGUUAAUGUGGAAGAGAGGAAUGAAGACACUUGGAAGCUGAGAUUACUAGUCAGCCAGCAAUGUGAACGCCUCUCUGACACGCUCUUGCCAAGAAAUCCUUCCUACGUAGACAAAACUUGGAACAAAGGUACCCAACACACAAGGAAAAAA